Molecule: ribosomal RNA, 916 nt
Filed under: Menispora ciliata
Lineage: Eukaryota; Fungi; Ascomycota; Sordariomycetes; Chaetosphaeriales; Chaetosphaeriaceae
Description: LSU rRNA
Rfam family: Eukaryotic large subunit ribosomal RNA
Source: RNAcentral
UACUAGGUUUUUGUGAAAACAGCAUAUCAAUAAGCGGAGGAAAAGAAACCAACAGGGAUUGCCUCAGUAACGGCGAGUGAAGCGGCAACAGCUCAAAUUUGAAAUCUGGCCCUAGGCCCGAGUUGUAAUUUGCAGAGGAUGCUUCCGGUGCGGCGCCGUCCAAGUCCCCUGGAACGGGGUGCCACAGAGGGUGAGAGCCCCGUCGGGUCGGCCGCCAAGCCUAUGUGAAGCUCCUUCGACGAGUCGAGUAGUUUGGGAAUGCUGCUCUAAAUGGGAGGUAGACCCCUUCUAAAGCUAAAUAUUGGCCAGAGACCGAUAGCGCACAAGUAGAGUGAUCGAAAGAUGAAAAGCACUUUGAAAAGAGGGUUAAACAGUACGUGAAAUUGUUGAAAGGGAAGCGCUUGUGACCAGACGUGCGCCGGGUGUUCAGCGGGCGUUCUCGCCCGUCUAUUCGCCCUGGCGCAGGCCAGCGUCGGUUCGGAUGGGUGGACAAAGGCACCAGGAACGUGGCUCCCUCGGGAGUGUUAUAGCCUGGUACGUCAUGCCCCCGUCCGGACCGAGGUUCGCGCUCUGCAAGGACGCUGGCGUAAUGGUCCCCAGCGGCCCGUCUUGAAACACGGACCAAGGAGUCGAGGUUUUGUGCGAGUGUCUGGGUGUCAAACCCGCACGCAUAAUGAAAGUGAACGCAGGUGGGAGCUUCGGCGCACCACCGACCGAUCCUGAAGUUUUCGGAUGGAUUUGAGUAAGAGCAUAGGGCCUCGGACCCGAAAGAUGGUGAACUAUACUUGGAUAGGGUGAAGCCAGAGGAAACUCUGGUGGAGGCUCGCAGCGGUUCUGACGUGCAAAUCGAUCGUCAAAUCUGAGUAUGGGGCGAAAGACUAAUCGAAACCAUCUAGUAGCUGGUUACCGCCGAUCU